Molecule: ribosomal RNA, 731 nt
Filed under: uncultured bacterium
Lineage: Bacteria
Description: bacterial SSU rRNA
Rfam family: Bacterial small subunit ribosomal RNA
Source: RNAcentral
AGCGGCGGACGGGUGAGUAAUGCUUAGGAAUCUGCCUAUUAGUGGGGGACAACAUUCCGAAAGGAAUGCUAAUACCGCAUACGUCCUACGGGAGAAAGCAGGGGACCUUCGGGCCUUGCGCUAAUAGAUGAGCCUAAGUCGGAUUAGCUAGUUGGUGGGGUAAAGGCCUACCAAGGCGACGAUCUGUAGCGGGUCUGAGAGGAUGAUCCGCCACACUGGGACUGAGACACGGCCCAGACUCCUACGGGAGGCAGCAGUGGGGAAUAUUGGACAAUGGGGGGAACCCUGAUCCAGCCAUGCCGCGUGUGUGAAGAAGGCCUUAUGGUUGUAAAGCACUUUAAGCGAGGAGGAGGCUACUAGUAUUAAUACUACUGGAUAGUGGACGUUACUCGCAGAAUAAGCACCGGCUAACUCUGUGCCAGCAGCCGCGGUAAUACAGAGGGUGCGAGCGUUAAUCGGAUUUACUGGGCGUAAAGCGUGCGUAGGCGGCCAUUUAAGUCAAAUGUGAAAUCCCCGAGCUUAACUUGGGAAUUGCAUUCGAUACUGGAUGGCUAGAGUAUGGGAGAGGAUGGUAGAAUUCCAGGUGUAGCGGUGAAAUGCGUAGAGAUCUGGAGGAAUACCGAUGGCGAAGGCAGCCAUCUGGCCUAAUACUGACGCUGAGGUACGAAAGCAUGGGGAGCAAACAGGAUUAGAUACCCUGGUAGUCCAUGCCGUAAACGAUGUCUACUAGC